RNAcentral lists this ribosomal RNA (253 nucleotides) under uncultured bacterium. Its description in RNAcentral is "partial 16S ribosomal RNA". It matches the Rfam family "Bacterial small subunit ribosomal RNA", at positions 524 to 776 of the family's 1533-position model. The record is from RNAcentral.
UACGGAGGAGGCAAGCGUUAUCCGGAAUUAUUGGGCGUAAAGCGUCCGCAGGUGGCACCUCAAGUCUGCUGUCAAAGACCGGGGCUUAACUCCAGAAAGGCAGUGGAAACUGAAGUGCUAGAGUGCAGUAGGGGUAGAGGGAAUUCCCGGUGUAGCGGUGAAAUGCGUAGAGAUCGGGAAGAACAUCGGUGGCGAAAGCGCUCUGCUGGACUGCAACUGACACUCAGGGACGAAAGCUAGGGGAGCGAAUGGG